Molecule: transfer RNA, 66 nt
Filed under: Chydorus sphaericus
Lineage: Eukaryota; Metazoa; Arthropoda; Branchiopoda; Diplostraca; Chydoridae
Description: tRNA-Ile
Source: RNAcentral
AAUUUGGUGCCUGAUAAAAAGGAUGACUUCGAUACAGUCAAUCAUGUUGCUAGUCAACUCAAAUUA